RNAcentral lists this long non-coding RNA (1289 nucleotides) under Gossypium raimondii (Peruvian cotton). RNAcentral's name for it is "long non-coding RNA (GRAI_LNC005080)". Lineage: Eukaryota; Viridiplantae; Streptophyta; Magnoliopsida; Malvales; Malvaceae. The record is from RNAcentral.
AUGAGGGUGGUGGAGGUGGAGGAGGUGAGACACUAGACAUCGAUGGGGGUGAUGAAGGUGGGACACUAGACACCAAUUGGGGUGGUGGAGAUGGAGGUGAGGCACUAGUUGAAAAAGUGGUUGAUAAAGGUGAAGGAGGAAGUGAAGCACUAGAUAUCGAUGGGGGAGGAGGUUGGGUGUUAGAUGUUGAUGGGGGCGGUGGAGAUGGAGGAGGUGGGGCACUAGUCGUCAAAGUGGUUGGUGAAGGAGGAGGUGGGGUGCUAGAUAUUGAUGGGGGUGGUGGAGAUGGAGGAGGUGGAGGGAGUAGGGCACUAGUCAUCAAAGUAUUUGGUGAAGGUGAAGGAGGAAUUGAAGCACUAGACAUCGAUGGGGGAGGAGGUGGGGUGCUAGAUAUUGAUGGGGGUGGUGGAGAUGGAGGAGCUGGGGUACUAGUCAUCGAAGUGGUUGGUGAAGGAGGAGGUGGGGUGCUAGAUAUUGAAGAAGGUGGUGGAGAUGGAGGAGGUAGGGCACUAGUUGUCAAAGUGGUUGGUGAAGGAGAACGAGGAAUUGAAGCACUAGACAUCGAUGAGGGAAGAGGUUGGAUGCUAGAUAUUGAUAGGGGUGAUGGAGACAAAAGAGGUGGGGCACUAGUCGUUGCAGAGGGUGGUGAAGAUGGAGGAGGAAGUGGGGCAGUAGACAUCAAUGUGGGAGGUGGAGAUGGUAGUGAAGGUGAAGGAGGUGGGGCACUAGUCAUCAAAGUGGUUGGCGAAAGUGAAAGAGGAAGUGGAGCACUAGAUACCGACGGGGGAGGAAGUGGGGUGUUAGAUAUUGAUGGGGGUGGUGGAGAUGGAGGAGGUGGGGCACUAGUUGUCAAAAAGGGUGGUGAAGGUGGAGCAGGAAACGAGGCAGUAGACAUCAAUAGGGGAGGUGGAGAUGGUGGUGGAAUUGAAGGAGGUAAGGCACUAGUAACCGAAGAAGGUGGUGAAGGUGGAGGAAGUGAAGCACUAGACAUUGAUGGGAGUUGUGGAGCUGGAGGAGAUGGGACAAUAUUAGUCAAAGAGGGUGGUGAAGGCGGAGGAAGUGGAGUACUACACAUUGGUGGGGGUGGUGGAGAUGGAGGAGACGAGGCAAUAGUAGUUGAAAAGGGUGGUGAAAAUGGAGGAAGUGGAGUACUACACAUUGGUGGAGGUGGUGGAGAUGGAGGAGACGAGGCAAUAGUAGUUGAAAAAGGUGGUGAGGUUAGAGGAAGUGGGACAGUAGUCGUUGAAGAGGGUGGUGAAGGUGGAGGAGGAUGUGGGGCAAUAGUUGCU